Molecule: microRNA precursor, 87 nt
Filed under: Gorilla gorilla gorilla (western lowland gorilla)
Lineage: Eukaryota; Metazoa; Chordata; Mammalia; Primates; Hominidae
Description: miRNA (ENSGGOG00000034264.2)
Source: RNAcentral
UUAUAUUAGGUUGGUGCAAAAGUAAUUGUGAUUUUUGCCGUAACUUUCAAUGGCAAAAUCCACAAUUUCUUUUGCACCAACCUAAUA